This 592-nucleotide unclassified non-coding RNA is filed under the name Hevea brasiliensis (rubber tree). The record is from RNAcentral. Lineage: Eukaryota; Viridiplantae; Streptophyta; Magnoliopsida; Malpighiales; Euphorbiaceae.
AUCACAAUUCAGCUUUUUCACAUUUAGGGACAACUAUGUCACGCUACCCAAAGUAAGGAGAGACCAAAAAACCACACAUUCUACAGAACUCUUAUGAUAUAGAUGCAUAACCACACCGCACACAAACUCAUGCUGGCUGCUGAACAUGCAUGUGAAUUUCUGGGCUUAUCGUUUAAGUGCAAACAUGUUUUUGCCUCCCUGUACCGAAGCUUUGAUAGUCCAAAUGUUGAACCAAACUGAAAAUCCAUCCAACUCCCACUCGAACCAGCAACUGCGUGAUCUUAAGCAGCCAUUGGAAUGAGUUUGAGAACUCCCAGCUAACUCCCAUUUGUUCAAUGCAAGCUCAUCAUCAUAUCACAAAAAAUGUAGAGACUACCGUGCAAAAAACUGUACAACUUUCACCCCACCUAACAAAAAUCAUACUUAACAGAUCAAAGUCACCGUAUUAAGUCUUAUUUCCUUGGCCACAAUAUUGACAUCUUCCAGACAGGCUUUAAAAUUCCGAAAGAUUUCCAAUUCUUUCUAGUGAUCCAUAAUACUAUAUAAUUAGAUAAAUUAUUCAGUUCAGAAAAACCUCCUCCUGAAAUUCCUG